UGGGGGAGGUGGAGUCACCACAAUAUGAGGAACUGUAUUAAAGGGUCCCUUGCAGCAUUAGGAAGGUUAAGAACCAUGAGUCCAAGAGAUCUUCUGGAUUUCCAAGGCUAUUAACUCAUUUUCAUUUGUGCUUAUAGCUUAACAUAUGGGUCACAGCAUUGGUCCUGGCAUGCUGCAGUCAAAGACGGAGAGCUCUCAUUAUAUAGGCUGUAAGCUUUGGCUCAUUUAUCUUCAGAAUUUAUGGUCAGAAACAAAGAACCCUUGGCUUUCUUUAUUGAUGAUGUCAGACAUGCAAGCAUCUGAUUCUCAGUAUCUCUGCUCUCCUCCACAACGCCUUGCUCCUGAGUGUGAUACCAAGCUAGGCUCGGCACUGAGAAGAUGCCCAGUAACCACAGGAGACCUGCCUCUGAUGCUGAUGCCGGUGCCAAUGCCAGUGCCGAUGCUGAGAAUGACAAAAGUGGCACAUGGACAGCUCUCUCCUUACUCAUCCUCACCAAGUACAGCAUAGGGAUUAGUUUUAUGGUUCCUCCACUGCUGCACCAGCUCCAGUGGAGCCUGACUGACAUGAAACAAUCGUGGUCCGCAGGCCAGAGACAUCUGUUCCUCAAAACUUGGUCUCCUGGAAACACUUGGCCACUUCCUGCUGGACUUUCUGCCUAGCUGAUUGGAAUAGGUAUGAUCGGGAGUUACAUAUUUGCUCUUUUGUUUCUUUCUCUACUAACAGGAACAUGGAGACCUGAUUUGGUCUUUAUGGACCAUGCCUCUUUUGAAAGCACUAGCAAAAAUUAAGUAGAAUCAGAGUUGUGAUCAAUAACUUACAACAGGAAGAAUUAACUGUGGAAAAUCCAGACCUCCUAGAUAGUGAAAGAAUUAAGGUGCUAGCUAUUAGAGGGGAAAGUCCCAUCAAUUAUAAAAAAUCCAAACAUUUAGGAAUUCCUAUCAAGUAGUUACAUGGAAGAAAACAUUAUAUAAUUAGAGGAAGGUGGUGGGCCCCUCCUUUAGGUAAAAACAGCCUGAGU
Molecule: long non-coding RNA, 1019 nt
Filed under: Rattus norvegicus (Norway rat)
Lineage: Eukaryota; Metazoa; Chordata; Mammalia; Rodentia; Muridae
Description: long non-coding RNA NONRATT031569
Source: RNAcentral